Molecule: ribosomal RNA, 343 nt
Filed under: uncultured bacterium
Lineage: Bacteria
Description: bacterial SSU rRNA
Rfam family: Bacterial small subunit ribosomal RNA
Source: RNAcentral
AGGGUUUGAUUCUGGCUCAGGAUGAACGCUGGCGGCGUGCUUAACACAUGCAAGUCGAACGGGAAAUACUUUAUUGAAACUUCGGUCGAUUUAAUCUAUUUCUAGUGGCGGACGGGUGAGUAACGCGUGGGUAACCUGCCUUAUACUGGGGGAUAACAGCCAGAAAUGGCUGCUAAUACCGCAUAAGCGCACGGGGCCGCAUGGUCCUGUGUGAAAAACUCCGGUGGUAUAAGAUGGACCCGCGUUGGAUUAGCUAGUUGGCAGGGCAGCGGCCUACCAAGGCGACGAUCCAUAGCCGGCCUGAGAGGGUGAACGGCCACAUUGGGACUGAGACACGGCCCAG